This 531-nucleotide ribosomal RNA is filed under the name uncultured crenarchaeote. RNAcentral describes it as "bacterial SSU rRNA". It matches the Rfam family "Archaeal small subunit ribosomal RNA", at positions 325 to 858 of the family's 1478-position model. The record is from RNAcentral. Lineage: Archaea; Thermoproteati; Thermoproteota.
ACGGGGUGCAGCAGGCGCGAAAACUCCACAAUGUACGGAAGUACUAUGGGGUUAUCUCGAGUGCAGUCCGAUAAGGGCUGCUUUUCCAUAGAGUAAUAUCCUGUGGGAAUAAGAGGGGGGCAAGACUGGUGUCAGCCGCCGCGGUAACGCCAGCCCCUCGAGUGGUGGGGACUAUUAUUUGGCCUAAGGCGUCCGUAGCUGGCUGUAUCCGUCUCCCGGUAAAUCCGGCGUCCUAAGCGUCGGCUCUCGGGUGAUACCAUACAGCUAGAGGGUGGGAUAGGUGAGCGGUAUUUCUGGGGUAGGGGCGAAAUCCUUUGAUCCCAUGAGGACCACCAUUGGCGAAGGCUGCUCACUAGAACACGCCUGACGGUCAGGGACGAAAGCUGGGGCAGCGAACCGGAUUAGAUACCCGGGUAGUCCCAGCUGUAAACGAUGCUAGCUAGGUGUUGGGUCGGCCACGCGCCGCCUCACUGCCUCACGGAUGCCGUUAAGCACGCCUUCCGGGAAGUAUUGCCGCCAGGUUGAAACUUA